GAAUUUUGGACAAUGGGCGAAAGCCUGAUCCAGCAAUGCCGCGUGCAGGAUGAAGGCCUUCGGGUUGUAAACUGCCUUUGUACGGAACGAAAAGUUUUGGGCUAAUACCCUGGAGUCAUGACGGUACCGUAAGAAUACGCACCGGCUACCUACGUGCCAGCAGCCGCGGUAAUACGUAGGGUGCAAGCGUUAAUCGGACUUACUGUGCGGAAAACGGGCGCAGUCUGGUUUGGAAGACAGAGGUGGAAUACCCGGGCUCAACCUGGGAGCUGCCUUUGUGACUGCAAUGGUAGAGUACGGCAGAGGGGGGUGGAAGUACGCGUGUAGCAGUGAAAUGCGUAGAUAUGCGGAGGAACACCGAUGGCGAAGGCAACCCCCUGGGCCUGUACUGACGCUCAUGCACGAAAGCGUGGGGAGCAAACA
RNAcentral lists this ribosomal RNA (423 nucleotides) under uncultured bacterium. Its description in RNAcentral is "partial 16S ribosomal RNA". It matches the Rfam family "Bacterial small subunit ribosomal RNA", at positions 359 to 774 of the family's 1533-position model. The record is from RNAcentral.